RNAcentral lists this long non-coding RNA (584 nucleotides) under Trichogramma pretiosum. RNAcentral's name for it is "uncharacterized LOC106655570, transcript variant X2". Lineage: Eukaryota; Metazoa; Arthropoda; Insecta; Hymenoptera; Trichogrammatidae. The record is from RNAcentral.
CAUGUAUUCAGACUUUUCAUUAACUGACGUCAUAAGAAUCUUCUAGAUUCUUCUACUUCUUUCUCAAUCACCAAUGUUUUUUCGGUAUCUCCUAGUUCCUCCAUCCCACUCCAGCCAGGCCCGCCGACCGUAUUUCUGGAUAUAAAAAGAACAAAAAAAUAAGAGGAAAUCAAUCAAGGAAUUCAAGAAAACAUGCGGUUCAUUGCCGAGGCGCGGAAUAGUCACCUCACCCACGAUAAUUUUCCCAACACGGUCCCAGCACGGAUGCGGACCGCCGUGAAAUGUUUAUGAGGUCGCAGGAACGUGUAAGAACGUAAGAAUAGUCGACAUUUUGAUAGUGUUUUUCUAUUGCUACUUUGGUGAUUUAGAGGACGAAUGUGGACAGACGAAAGGACCAUCAUGUUUUCUUAUAAAUACGACUACGUACUCAAUUUAUAAGUCGCCUAACGAGUAUCAAACCUCAUCUAAAAAAAGCAAUUGAUUACGUUGUUCGACAAAAAAUUUUCUCAUUUUUUCGAUUAUUGUAUCAGAUUUUUGAUAUGUUCUACAUUAAACCAAGAUAAUCGCCAUUUAACAUGCCCCGC